UACGUAGGGGGCAAACGUUGUCCGGAUUUAUUGGGCGUAAAGAGCGUGUAGGCGGUUUGGUAGGUCCGCUGUGAAAACUCGAGGCUCAACCUCGAGACGCCGGUGGAAACCAUCAGGCUAGAGUCCGGAAGAGGAGAGUGGAAUUCCUGGUGUAGCGGUGAAAUGCGCAGAUAUCAGGAAGAACACCCGUGGCUAAGGCGGCUCUCUAGUACGGUACUGACGCUGAGACGCGAAAGCGUGGGGAGCGAACAGG
RNAcentral lists this ribosomal RNA (253 nucleotides) under uncultured bacterium. RNAcentral describes it as "partial 16S ribosomal RNA". It matches the Rfam family "Bacterial small subunit ribosomal RNA", at positions 524 to 776 of the family's 1533-position model. The record is from RNAcentral.